AAAAACUUAAUUCAUAGGUUUCCGUGUCUAACGUUUGACCGUUCGUCUUAUUUAAAAAAUUAUGAAAAAAAAUUAAAAAGAUAAGACGGACGGUCAAACAAUAAUGUUUUAUCAUCUAACAAUAAUAAAAAUACUAAUAAUAAAAAAAUUUCAUAUAAGACGGACGGUCAAACGUUGGACACGAAAACCGAAGAAUUCGGUCUUU
Oryza sativa Japonica Group (Japanese rice) is the source of this 205-nucleotide microRNA precursor. It matches the Rfam family "MIR812 microRNA precursor family". Lineage: Eukaryota; Viridiplantae; Streptophyta; Magnoliopsida; Poales; Poaceae. The record is from Rfam.